This 1409-nucleotide long non-coding RNA is filed under the name Homo sapiens (human). RNAcentral describes it as "non-protein coding lnc-SARDH-2:1". The record is from RNAcentral. Lineage: Eukaryota; Metazoa; Chordata; Mammalia; Primates; Hominidae.
UUUCUGGAGUCCUGGGAAGGUGUCUGCCUGGCCGCGCUGCCAGAUCAGUACAUCUUUUGUAAAAACCCUGAAAUGGGCAGGGAAGAAAACAGGGAUUUCCCCUCUCUAGAUCCCUGCCAGGUCCCUCUCCAGGAGGCCCCUCUGCUCUCCUGAAGGGUGGUCCCUGAGGGUCUGCCCAGCCUUGGCACGAGAGGUUGGUUCCAGCCCCUGGCAGGGCUUCCUUCCAAGGGCCCCUGCAGCCUACAAACUGGGCCUCGGGCGACUCAAAAUAAGUGCUCUUGGGGGUGGCUCUACCCCAUUACCUCCCCCAGCCACAACUCCUGGCCUUCGACUUCUGGCUGGGUUAGCCAGACCCUGGUUUCUCUACCCUGAUGUUGCAUGAGACCUGGUAACAGUGUCUCCCUCCCAGCUCCUUGCCAAAGCCUCUGUUGAGACCUGGGCUUCUUGUAGCCCCUUCUCCCUCUGGCCAGCUGCACAGCCUGUGGGAGGUGCCCGGCCCAGGCUGGGUGUGGGGGAAGCUGGUCCCUGCUGUGGGUGGCGCUGGGGACCUAGGGGCUCCUUCUGAGGUUGGCCUUGUGGCCUCUGGGCUGUAUGCCUCUGGGGUGUAGGGAAGAGGCGGGAGGAGUCAUGGGGAUGGGGAGCGGCAGGGGGAGAGAGGGGCCCUCGACAAAGGCUUGGGAAAUGAGGGGAGGUGGAGGCAGGGCAGGGGAAGCGAAGAGUCAGCCUUGGAGAGAGCACCCUGGGGCCUCCGUGUCGGGGUACACCCAGCACUUUGCGACCUGCGGCCCAGCAGGCGCGGAGGAUGGCGGGGAGGAAGCCAGCAGCCCCUGUGUUUACUGUCGUCAGAAAGGUCUUGUGUUUUGGUUUUGGGGUUUUUGUUUUGUUUGUGUUUUGUUUGGCUUGUUUGUUUUUUAAGGGGAAAAAAGUUUGUAAUUAUUUCAUCCAAAUCUCCCGUUAUAUAUCUGUGAAUAAUAAGAGAUUUUAUAAUAGCAAGAAAAUGAUGUAUAUUUUAGUUUGUUGACAAAUAAGUCAUCAUGAUCACGAAGGACACUGAGAAAAAAUAAUUUAGAACCCUGGUUUUUGUGAAUUUUUUUGUUUUGUGUUUCUUUGUUUUGAGAUUUGUGUUUGGUUUGGUUUUUGCACUGCACUAAGGCAGGAGGGUUGGAGGGCUGGGUGCAGCCUGGGAGUCCGAUGGUUUUCAGCAGGAGACGGGGUGUCCCCUGCAGGGGGCUAAACUGCAGGGGCCUGAGAUUAGCUGUGAACAUGUGGGAGCCCGAUGCAUGUGGGUCAGGGAUCUGGGGGCCCCCCCAGCUGGCGGGAACCCCAAAUGGACACAAACUGUACAUUUGCCAAUGGGUUUUUUUCAGACCAUGGUUUUUACUUGCAAAUAAACCUGAGUUCUUUUCUGC